UUUUUUCAUGAUUAAACUCGAU
This 22-nucleotide small nuclear RNA is filed under the name Arabidopsis thaliana (thale cress). RNAcentral describes it as "snRNA_09990". The record is from RNAcentral. Lineage: Eukaryota; Viridiplantae; Streptophyta; Magnoliopsida; Brassicales; Brassicaceae.